This 65-nucleotide transfer RNA is filed under the name Rhabdoblatta similsinuata. Its description in RNAcentral is "tRNA-His". Lineage: Eukaryota; Metazoa; Arthropoda; Insecta; Blattodea; Blaberidae. The record is from RNAcentral.
ACUUAGGUAGUUUAAUUUAAAAUAUCGAUUUGUGGUGUCGGGGAUAUAUAAAAGUGUCUUAGGUU